CCGUUAAGUAAUGUGAAUUGCAGAAUUUACGUGAAUCAUCGAAUCUUUGAACGCACAUUGCGCCCUAUGGUAUUCCAUAGGGCAUGCCUGUCUGAGCGUCAGCUCCCACCCUCAUCAGAUUUUUCCUUUUUUUUAUUAAGGUUGAGUCUGGAUAUUUGGGGGAAGUGGUAUUCUCGGUACCACUCCUCUGAAAUUCAUAGGCGGUAUGGUCAAAUCCUGAACCUGACGUAAUAAAUAAAAUAAAAUCGUCUAACUCAGGGGGAGUGAUUGUAGUUGCCUUGAACCCAAUUAUUAUUUUUUAUUUUGGGUGACCUCAGAUCAGGUAGGGAUACCCGCUGAACUUAAGC
RNAcentral lists this unclassified non-coding RNA (347 nucleotides) under plant metagenome. RNAcentral describes it as "partial contains 5.8S ribosomal RNA, internal transcribed spacer 2, and large subunit ribosomal RNA". The stretch from base 1 to 101 matches the Rfam family "5.8S ribosomal RNA", at positions 55 to 154 of the family's 154-position model. The record is from RNAcentral.